CCCUACGGGGUGCACCAGCGCGCGAAACGCUUCUCAAUGAUGCGAAACGCUUUAYGGGGUUAGUCCCGGAUUCUGCUAAGGCGUCUUUUGYUAGUUNUASAUCAUCCGGAAAAUAAGGCAGGCAAUCC
Molecule: ribosomal RNA, 128 nt
Filed under: uncultured archaeon
Lineage: Archaea
Description: partial 16S ribosomal RNA
Source: RNAcentral